This 449-nucleotide ribosomal RNA is filed under the name uncultured bacterium. RNAcentral describes it as "bacterial SSU rRNA". It matches the Rfam family "Bacterial small subunit ribosomal RNA", at positions 329 to 795 of the family's 1533-position model. The record is from RNAcentral.
UCCCAGACUCCUACGGGAGGCAGCAGUGGGGAAUAUUGCACAAUGGGGGAAACCCUGAUGCAGCGACGCCGCGUGGGUGACGAAGUAUUUCGGUAUGUAAAGCCCUAUCAGCAGGGAAGAAGAUGACAGUACCUGACUAAGAAGCCCCGGCUAACUACGUGCCAGCAGCCGCGGUAAUACGUAGGGGGCAAGCGUUAUCCGGAUUUACUGGGUGUAAAGGGCGUGUAGGCGGGAAAGCAAGUCAGAUGUGAAAACCAUGGGCUCAACCUGUGGCCUGCAUUUGAAACUGUUUUUCUUGAGUACUGGAGAGGCAGACGGAAUUCCUAGUGUAGCGGUGAAAUGCGUAGAUAUUAGGAGGAACACUAGUGGCGAAGGCGGUCUGCUGGACAGCAACUGACGCUGAGGCGCGAAAGCGUGGGGAGCAAACAGGAUUAGAUACCCCAGUAACA